CCUACGGGAGGCAGCAGUGGGGGAUAUUGCACAAUGGGGGAAACCCUGAUGCAGCGACGCCGCGUGUGGGAAGACGGUCCUCUGGAUUGUAAACCACUGUCCCCAGGGACGAAGAUGACGGUACCUGGGGAGGAAGCUCCGGCUAACUACGUGCCAGCAGCCGCGGUAAUACGUAGGGAGCAAGCGUUGUCCGGAAUUACUGGGUGUAAAGGGAGCGUAGGCGGGAUGGCAAGUUGGGUGUUAAAUCUACCGGCUCAACUGGUAGUCGCACUCAAAACUGCUAUUCUUGAGUGAAGUAGAGGCAGGCGGAAUUCCUAGUGUAGCGGUGAAAUGCGUAGAUAUAUGGAAGAACACCAGUGGCGAAGGCGGCUCUCUGGUCUGCAACUGACGCUGAGGCUCGAAAGCAUGGGUAGCGAACAGGAUUAGAUACCCCAGUAGUC
RNAcentral lists this ribosomal RNA (440 nucleotides) under uncultured bacterium. RNAcentral describes it as "partial 16S ribosomal RNA". It matches the Rfam family "Bacterial small subunit ribosomal RNA", at positions 338 to 795 of the family's 1533-position model. The record is from RNAcentral.